Molecule: long non-coding RNA, 1124 nt
Organism: Cervus elaphus (red deer)
Lineage: Eukaryota; Metazoa; Chordata; Mammalia; Artiodactyla; Cervidae
Exons: 2
Source: RefSeq, a predicted model, not a curated record
UCUGAUGCUGGGGGAGGGUCUGAUGCUAGACUAGGGUCUGAUGCUGGGGGAAGGUCUGAUGCUGGGUAGGGUCUGAUGCUGGACUAGGGCCUGAUGCUUGGGGAGGGUCUGAUGCUCUGGAAAGGUCUGAUGCUAGACUAGGGCCUGAUGCUGGGGGAAGGUCUGAUGCUUGAGGAGGGCCUGAUGCUGGACUAGGGUCUGAUGCUGGGGGGAAGUCCUGAUGAUGGUGGGCAGCCUGCUCCCAGAUACACAGAGUUGUGAUUAUAAAUCUCUGUGAGAAAGCUCUUUUUCAUACUUUCCUGACCAACUUGCUGUGUUCUUUUUUUCUGAAGCAUAAUUGCUGUGCAGUAUCUGAUUUCUGCCAUACAUCAAUAUGAAUUAGCCAUAGAUGAACGUAUGUCUCCUCCCUCUUGAAUCUCCCUCCCACCUCCCCUUGCUACAUUCUUGUUUCUAUGGAUAUAUGAAUAAUAAAGACUGUUGACUAAAAUAACAUAAAAAGCUCCCACACACAGGCGUGCACACGCACACUCCCUAGUGCAUCAUUCGGGUCCGCAUCAGGGUUGCCCUCGGCCACCCCGCCCUGGGAUCCACGGUGAGCCUUGACACCUGCACUUUGUUCCCAUCCUCGGCCCGCUGCCCACGCCUCCGCAGCAGAGGGGCCCUGUCCCCGCAGGUGCUGAAGUGAUGGAGCCUCUUGCCUCCAGAGCCAAGAGUAUGAAUACCAGGUCGGUCGUCCUUUGGGGACAUCUAUGCUUCCGCCUUCUAGCCUUUCCAUUGUAUCCAUCCGUUUCUCUUAACAAUGUCCGAUGACACGGGCUCCCAUUACCAGCUCUGGUCUGUUCUCAGAGUACAGCUUACCCUCGGCACACUCUAUUGGCAGUGGGAAAUUUUCCUUCAGUACUUUAUUGAAAGAAAGCAAUAAAUAAUACUGUGAUAAAAAUAGUUCAAAAGUAGACUGUACGUACUUUGUCACAUAUUCAGGAAGUUCACCAAAGAUUAGUAGAAAAACAGAAUGGUAACAAUGAAUUGUACAAGUAAAUUAAAGGUGGAGCCCACAUGUAAAGAGACAUGCCGUCUCUGUCUACUGAGACAUCACUGCAUAAUAAAUAACGCACUGUGAUCUG